UGGCUCAGUCGGUAGAGCUCUGGACUCUUGAUCUAGGGGUUGUGAGUUCGAGCCCCAC
RNAcentral lists this transfer RNA (58 nucleotides) under Felis catus (domestic cat). It matches the Rfam family "tRNA", at positions 8 to 63 of the family's 71-position model. Rfam says of the family: Transfer RNA (tRNA) molecules are approximately 80 nucleotides in length. Their secondary structure includes four short double-helical elements and three loops (D, anti-codon, and T loops). Further hydrogen bonds mediate the characteristic L-shaped molecular structure. tRNAs have two regions of fundamental functional importance: the anti-codon, which is responsible for specific mRNA codon recognition, and the 3' end, to which the tRNAs corresponding amino acid is attached (by aminoacyl-tRNA synthetases). tRNAs cope with the degeneracy of the genetic code in two manners: having more than one tRNA (with a specific anti-codon) for a particular amino acid; and 'wobble' base-pairing, i.e. permitting non-standard base-pairing at the 3rd anti-codon position. The record is from Rfam by way of RNAcentral. Lineage: Eukaryota; Metazoa; Chordata; Mammalia; Carnivora; Felidae. RNAcentral also lists the same sequence under 2 other names.